Molecule: long non-coding RNA, 919 nt
Filed under: Homo sapiens (human)
Lineage: Eukaryota; Metazoa; Chordata; Mammalia; Primates; Hominidae
Description: HSALNT0210871
Source: RNAcentral
AUCCGCAGUCACGUGGAACUAUGGGGCGUCCUUACUCCCAGUCUUUCCAGAUGUUCUUCCCACUCCUCAACUGCUCCUGGCUCAGAAACCCUGCACACCUGGAAGAAAGUGAGAACCAGUUUUUCAACAAACACAUUGCACAGACUUAUUGUGAACCCCGGGUGGAAUCAAGCAUCGGAGGAAGAGAACGUGGGUCUUGCUGUGUCCCUAGGCUGGAGUGCAGUGGUGCAGUCUCAAUUAUGCCAGAUGGCUCUGAGGUCCAAGUAAAAGAUAAUAUUUGCAACCAACUCACUGGAGUUGACCAUCAAAACUCUUUUCCAGGUGGAAAAGCACCCUGAAUCCAGCUUCCUGCUAUGAAUGAAUACUGAGCUUGGGUUGGUGGAAAUUGAUUUUCGAGAUAAAGAAUCCAGCCAGGACUGUGAAGCCCCAGGGAAUGGCUGCACUUCAAGUCAGAAGGAGCCUGGGUCCCUGAAUCAUCAUGUGGAAGGCUCUCCACCCAGUUCAAUGGUGCAAUGGACCACAAGCAGGAACUUAAUUUAGAAUGUGCUUAUUUUGUUAGAUUUUGUAAUUAAAAAAUGGAUCCCACUCUGACUGAAUCAGAGAUGUUGAAGUCAUUGAUCUGGGAGGGUAUGUUCCUGGGAGUGGGUGGCUGAGGUGAGAUUUCAAACAAGGUUGUUGAGGAAGAGGAGUUCAAGUGACUGAGAGGACAUAUUGUUGGAUAAAUUGUGCGUGCGUGUGUGUGUGUGUGUGUGUGUGUGUUGAAAUCACCAAGAAUAGGGAAAGAAGUGUAUAAGAGAGUGUGGCAGUGAGCCCAGAGCUAAAAGAAAUCAUGAGCAGGGAGUAAUUCACGAGCAGAAAGUAGAAGCAACGAGAGGCAGUUAAUGAGAGAAGCAGCUGAGGGAUUUUAGCAAGGGAUGGG